This 253-nucleotide ribosomal RNA is filed under the name uncultured bacterium. RNAcentral describes it as "partial 16S ribosomal RNA". It matches the Rfam family "Bacterial small subunit ribosomal RNA", at positions 524 to 776 of the family's 1533-position model. The record is from RNAcentral.
UACGGAGGGGGCUAGCGUUGUCCGGAAUCAUUGGGCGUAAAGAGCGUGUAGGCGGCCCGGUAAGUCCGCUGUGAAAGUCGGGGGCUCAACCCUCGAAUGCCGGUGGAUACUGUCGGGCUAGAGUGCGGAAGAGGCGAGUGGAAUUCCUGGUGUAGCGGUGAAAUGCGCAGAUAUCAGGAGGAACACCAAUUGCGAAGGCAGCUCGCUGGGACGUAACUGACGCUGAGACGCGAAAGCGUGGGGAGCGAACAGG